UACGUAGGGUGCAAGCGUUGUCCGGAAUUAUUGGGCGUAAAGAGCUCGUAGGCGGUUUGUCGCGUCUGCUGUGAAAACUCGGGGCUUAACUCCGGGCCUGCAGUGGGUACGGGCAGACUAGAGUGCGGUAGGGGAGACUGGAAUUCCUGGUGUAGCGGUGGAAUGCGCAGAUAUCAGGAGGAACACCGAUGGCGAAGGCAGGUCACUGGGCCGCAACUGACGCUGAGGAGCGAAAGCAUGGGGAGCGAACAGG
This 253-nucleotide ribosomal RNA is filed under the name uncultured bacterium. Its description in RNAcentral is "partial 16S ribosomal RNA". It matches the Rfam family "Bacterial small subunit ribosomal RNA", at positions 524 to 776 of the family's 1533-position model. The record is from RNAcentral.